RNAcentral lists this non-coding RNA (779 nucleotides) under Colias erate poliographus. RNAcentral also lists the same sequence under 1 other name. The record is from RNAcentral. Lineage: Eukaryota; Metazoa; Arthropoda; Insecta; Lepidoptera; Pieridae.
AAUAAAUUUUUAUGAUUUAUAAAUUUUAUUUUAAGUUUAAUUUACAUAUAAAUUUUAGUGUUAAUUUUAGUUUAUUUAAAAAAUAUACUAAUUAAUUAGGUAGUAAUUAUAAUUAAAAAUUUAAGAAAUUAAGAUUUAGUAAUUCAAUAAAUAAAUAACAAAUUUUGUGCCAGCAGUUGCGGUUAUACAAAAUUUUAUAUAAAAUUUUUCAGUAAUAAUUAAUAUAAUAAUAUAAUUUAAUUAAAAAUAAAAUUAUAAAGUGAAAUUUUAAUUUUAUAAAAAUUAAAAUUAAAAUAUGAUUUAAAAAAAUUUAAUUAAUAGACUAGGAUUAGAUACCCUAUUAUAAGAAAAUUAUUUAAAAAUACUAAAAUAGUAAAUAAUAAUUUAUUGAAACUUAAAUAAUUUGGCGGUAUUUUAGUUCAUUUAGAGGAAUCUGUCUAAUAAUUGAUAAUCCACGAAUAAAUAUACUUAAUUUAAAAUUUUAUAUAUCGUUGUUAAAAAAAUAUUUUUAAAAAAAAAUAAUAUUUAAAAAUUAUAAUUAAAAAAUUAAUUCAGAUCAAGAUGUAGAUUAUAAUUAAGAAUAUGAUGGAUUACAAUAAUAAUAAUUAAAUGAAUUUUUAUAUUGAAAUAAUAAAUUGAAGGUGGAUUUAAAUGUAAUUUUAUUUAAUUUAAUAAGAUGAUUAUAAAUUAAAAUAUGUACAUAUUGCCCGUCACUUUCAUUUAAAAAUUGGAAUAAGUCGUAACAAAGUAGAGGUACUGGAAAGUGUUUCUAGAAAUAA